CUCUGUGACUCCUACGGGGAGGCAGCAGUGGGGAAUAUUGCACAAUGGGGGAAACCCUGAUGCAGCCAUGCCGCGUGUGUGAAGAAGGCCUUCGGGUUGUAAAGCACUUUCAGUAGGGAGGAAGGUAGUGUAGUUAACACCUGCACUAUUUGACGUUACCUACAGAAGAAGCACCGGCUAACUCCGUGCCAGCAGCCGCGGUAAUACGGAGGGUGCGAGCGUUAAUCGGAAUUACUGGGCGUAAAGCGCAUGCAGGCGGCCUGUUAAGUCAGAUGUGAAAGACCCGGGGCUUAACCUCGGAAUUGCAUUUGAAACUGGCAGGCUAGAGUCUUGUAGAGGGGGGUAGGAAUUUCAGGUGUAGCGGUGAAAUGCGUAGAGAUCUGAAGGAAUACCAGUGGCGAAGGCGGCCCCCUGGACAAAGACUGACGCUCAGAUGCGAAAGCGUGGGGAGCAAACAGGAUUAGAUACCCUGGUAG
RNAcentral lists this ribosomal RNA (476 nucleotides) under uncultured bacterium. RNAcentral's name for it is "bacterial SSU rRNA". It matches the Rfam family "Bacterial small subunit ribosomal RNA", at positions 328 to 793 of the family's 1533-position model. The record is from RNAcentral.